Branchiostoma belcheri (Belcher's lancelet) is the source of this 322-nucleotide long non-coding RNA. RefSeq lists it as uncharacterized. The transcript has 3 exons. The record is from RefSeq and is a predicted model, not a curated record. Lineage: Eukaryota; Metazoa; Chordata; Leptocardii; Amphioxiformes; Branchiostomatidae.
CAAAAUGGCGAGGCGGCGUGGUCUGGAGAAAGGCUUGGGGACACCGUUCGGAGGAAAUGCGUUUAAAGCUAGGUGACUGCUGACUGAUGCAGUUGACUGCAGUGAUGACUCUAAACCCGACAAGACCAAAUGUUCGUGUUCUGAGAAACCUGGUGACCGGCAACUUCAGUCCAGACCAGCAAAUCAGAUGACCUGAAGACAGUGAGUUUGUACAGGUGUGUCCUGAGUGUCAGCUAUCCUGAUAUUCCUGUCCUGACAGGGAGAAACCUGUGAUGACCAGGGACUCUUUGUCGAAACCAGACCAGAUGAGGGCUGAGAAGAC